AAAAAGUAUUCGAUUUGGAACGGACCCCUAUUGUUUGGUUUGAGCAACAUGGUGACAUCAGUGAAGAGGACCCGCUCCCUAUGUAGAUAUGAAGGGCUCAUUCCAAGCUAAC
Molecule: long non-coding RNA, 112 nt
Organism: Sebastes umbrosus (honeycomb rockfish)
Lineage: Eukaryota; Metazoa; Chordata; Actinopteri; Perciformes; Sebastidae
Exons: 5
Source: RefSeq, a predicted model, not a curated record